RNAcentral lists this ribosomal RNA (577 nucleotides) under uncultured bacterium. RNAcentral describes it as "bacterial SSU rRNA". It matches the Rfam family "Bacterial small subunit ribosomal RNA", at positions 28 to 638 of the family's 1533-position model. The record is from RNAcentral.
AAUCAACGCGGGCGGCGUGCUAACACAUGCAAGUCGCACGAGAAAGGGGCUUCGGCUCUGAGUAAAGUGGCGCACGGGUGAGUAACACGUGACUAAUCUACCCUCGAGUGGGGAAUAACUGAGAGAAAUCUUAGCUAAUACCGCAUAACACUUACGAGUCAAAGCAGCAAUGCGCUUGGGGAGGAGGUCGCGGCCGAUUAGCUAGUUGGCGGGGUAAUGGCCCACCAAGGCGAUGAUCGGUAUCCGGCCUGAGAGGGCGCACGGACACACUGGAACUGAAACACGGUCCAGACUCCUACGGGAGGCAGCAGUGGGGAAUUUUGCGCAAUGGGGGAAACCCUGACGCAGCAACGCCGCGUGGAGGAUGAAAUAUCUUGGUAUGUAAACUCCUUUCGAUGGGGAAGAUUAUGACGGUACCCAUAGAAGAAGCCCCGGCUAACUUCGUGCCAGCAGCCGCGGUAAUACGAGGGGGGCAAGCGUUGUUCGGAUUUAUUGGGCGUAAAGGGUGCGUAGGCGGUUUGAUAAGUCUGAUGUGAAAUCUAUGGGCUCAACCCAUAGUCUGCAUUAGAAACUGUCG